GAUGAACCGCGCGGCGCAUUAGGCUAGUUGGUGAAGUAACCGCUCACCCAAGGCGACGAUGCGUAGCCGACCUGAGAGGGUGAUCCGCCACACUGAGACUGAGAACACCGCCCAGACUCCUACGGGAGGCAGCAGUAGGGAAUCUUCCGCAAUGGACGAAAGUCUGACGGAGCAACGCCGCGUGAGUGAUGAAGGUUUUCGGAUCGUAAAACUCUGUUGUUAGGGAAGAACAAGUACCGUUCGAAUAGGGCGGUACCUUGACGGUACCUAACCAGAAAGCCACGGCUAACUACGUGCCAGCAGCCGCGGUAAUACGUAGGUGGCAAGCGUUGUCCGGAAUUAUUGGGCGUAAAGCGCGCGCAGGCGGUUUCUUAAGUCUGAUGUGAAAGCCCCCGGCUCAACCGGGGAGGGUCAUUGGAAACUGGGGAACUUGAGUGCAGAAGAGGAGAGUGGAAUUCCACGUGUAGCGGUGAAAUGCGUAGAGAUGUGGAGGAACACCAGUGGCGAAGGCGACUCUCUGGUCUGUAACUGACGCUGAGGCGCGAAAGCGUGGGGAGCGAACAGGAUUAGAUACCCUGGUAGUCCACGCCGUAAACGAUGAGUGCUAAGUGUUAGAGGGUUUCCGCCCUUUAGUGCUGCAGCAAACGCAUUAAGCACUCCGCCUGGGGAGUACGGUCGCAAGACUGAAACUCAAAGGAAUUGACGGGGGCCCGCACAAGCGGUGGAGCAUGUGGUUUAAUUCGAAGCAACGCGAAGAACCUUACCAGGUCUUGACAUCCUCUGACAACCCUAGAAGAUAGGGCUUCCCCUUCGGGGGCAGAGUGACAGGUGGUGCAUGGUUGUCGUCAGCUCGUGUCGUGAGAUGUUGGGUUAAGUCCCGCAACGAGCGCAACCCUUGAUCUUAGUUGCUCAGCAUUCAGUUGGGCACUCUAAGGUGAACUGCCGGUGACAAACCGGAGGAAGGUGGGGAUUGACGUUCAAAUCAUCAUGCCCCUUAUGAACUGGCCUACACACGUGCUACAAUGCGCAGAACAAAGGGCAGGCGAAGCCGUCAAGGCAUAAGCCAAGUCGCACACAAACGCUGGUCUC
This 1089-nucleotide ribosomal RNA is filed under the name Bacillus licheniformis. RNAcentral's name for it is "bacterial SSU rRNA". It matches the Rfam family "Bacterial small subunit ribosomal RNA", at positions 224 to 1289 of the family's 1533-position model. The record is from RNAcentral. Lineage: Bacteria; Bacillati; Bacillota; Bacilli; Caryophanales; Bacillaceae.